This 468-nucleotide ribosomal RNA is filed under the name uncultured bacterium. Its description in RNAcentral is "partial 16S ribosomal RNA". It matches the Rfam family "Bacterial small subunit ribosomal RNA", at positions 28 to 507 of the family's 1533-position model. The record is from RNAcentral.
GACGAACGCUGGCGGCGUGCUUAACACAUGCAAGUCGAACGGAAAGGCCCUGCUUUUGUGGGGUGCUCGAGUGGCGAACGGGUGAGUAACACGUGAGUAACCUGCCCUUGACUUUGGGAUAACUUCAGGAAACUGGGGCUAAUACCGGAUAGGAGCUCCUGCUGCAUGGUGGGGGUUGGAAAGUUUCGGCGGUUGGGGAUGGACUCGCGGCUUAUCGGCUUGUUGGUGGGGUAGUGGCUUACCAAGGCUUUGACGGGUAGCCGGCCUGAGAGGGUGACCGGCCACAUUGGGACUGAGAUACGGCCCAGACUCCUACGGGAGGCAGCAGUUGGGAAUAUUGCACAAUGGGCGGAAGCCUGAUGCAGCAACGCCGCGUGCGGGAUGACGGCCUUCGGGUUGUAAACCGCUUUCGCCUGUGACGAAGCGUGAGUGACGGUAAUGGGUAAAGAAGCACCGGCUAACUACGUG